CUUCUGCUGGAGCUGGGCUAAUGUCCAGGGAUCAGCCCGCCUUUCUGGACGUCCUGGCGUUGACCCAGGGCCUGUGCUCCAUCUUGGCACAAACCUUUCUCCAACCCCAGCAGAGCCAGCUGCACCUCACCUUUGCUUCAGAGUGAUCUGUAGAGUUUUCACGCCAGUCACACACGUGCACACACACCCCUACAACAUACACGCACACAACCCCCCACAACAUAUACACACAUGCAACCACCCACAAUAUACAGGCACACACACCCUCUCAACAUAUACACACAUGCACACCCCCCCAACAUAUACACAUGUGCACACACACUCCCACAACAUACAUACAUGCACCCCACACAACAUAUACACAUGCACACAUACUCCCACAACACACACAGGCACACACACCCCUGCAACAUAUACACGCAUGCACACACACACACCCUCACAACAUACACACAGGCCCACACACCCCUGCAACAUACACGUAUGUGCACACACACCUCCAAAACAUAUGCAAACAUGCAACCCCCACAACAUACACAUGUGCACCCCAACAUACACACAUGUGCACACACACCCCCACAACAUACACACAUGCACCCCUCCAGAACCAGUACACAAGCACACCCCCCCACAACAUAUACACACAUGCACACACACCUCCACAACAUACACAUACACACCCUCACAACAUACACAUAUGUGCACACACACUUCCACAACAUAUGCAAACAUGCACACCCCCACAAGAUACACAAGUGCACCCUCAACAUAUACACAUGUGCACACACACUCCCACAACAUAUACAUACAUGUACACCCCCACAACAUAUGGACAUACACACACACCCCACAACAUAUACACACCUGCACACACACCCCCACAGCAUAUACAUGCACACACACCCUCACAGCAUAUACACAUGUGCACACACACCCCCAGAACAUAUGCACACAUGCACACACCCCCAAACAUAUAUACACGUUCACACACACACCCCCACAGCAUGCACAAAUGCACACACACCCUCACAUUUACACACAUGCACACACCCCCUACAUUACACAUGUGCACCCCCCAAGAUACACACACAUGCACACCCCCACAACAUAUACACACAUGCACACACACACCCACAACAUAUACACACGCACACACACCUCUAAGCUGGUCUCCCAAGGGCAUCACUGCUGCCUGGCAGAGUCCCCUGAGCUCCCCCCAGGCAGGCCCUCACAGCUCUGUGCCUCUCACACCCAGGGCUUCACCCACAGCAUGAACACAGGAGGGCCUUCAGUUGAACACCACACUGAGCAUGCUUCUCCCCUCUGAGCAUCUCCCUGCAGGACCUGUGGAGCCCAG
RNAcentral lists this long non-coding RNA (1357 nucleotides) under Bos mutus (wild yak). RNAcentral's name for it is "lncRNA (ENSBMUG00000024140.1)". Lineage: Eukaryota; Metazoa; Chordata; Mammalia; Artiodactyla; Bovidae. The record is from RNAcentral.